AUUGAACGCUGGCGGCAGGCCUAAUACAUGCGAGUCGAGCGGAUAAACGAAGCUUUCUCCCGGCUUCAGCGGCGGACGGGCGAGUGAUGCACAGGAAUCUGCCUGGUCGUUGGGACUAACGUCAGGUCGCGGGCGCUAAUCCCGCAUCCGUCCAUAUGUUGAACGUGGUGGUUCUUUAGAGAACACGCUAUCUGCUGUGCCUUAUUGGGGUUUCCUCGCCGGAUUGGCUAGUUGGUAAGGUAACGGCUUACCAAGGCGACGAUGCGUAGCCGACCUGAGAGGGUGAUCGGCCACACUGGAACUGAGACACGGUCCAGACUCCUACGGGAGGCAGCAGUAGGGAAUAUUGCGCAAUGGGCGAAAGCCUGACGGAGCAACGCCGCGUGAGUGAUGAAGGUCUUCGGAUCGUAAAACUCUGUUAGUAGGGAAGAACAAAUGUGUAAGUAACUAUGCACGUCUUGACGGUACCUAAUCAGAAAGCAACGGCUAACUACGUG
RNAcentral lists this ribosomal RNA (497 nucleotides) under uncultured bacterium. Its description in RNAcentral is "partial 16S ribosomal RNA". It matches the Rfam family "Bacterial small subunit ribosomal RNA", at positions 30 to 507 of the family's 1533-position model. The record is from RNAcentral.